Molecule: transfer RNA, 86 nt
Filed under: Flavobacteriales bacterium
Lineage: Bacteria; Pseudomonadati; Bacteroidota; Flavobacteriia; Flavobacteriales
Description: tRNA-Leu
Rfam family: tRNA
About the family: Transfer RNA (tRNA) molecules are approximately 80 nucleotides in length. Their secondary structure includes four short double-helical elements and three loops (D, anti-codon, and T loops).
Source: RNAcentral
GCCCAGGUGGCGGAAUUGGUAGACGCGCUAGGUUGAGGGCCUAGUGCCUGUUUUAAGGCGUGCUGGUUCGAUUCCAGUCCUGGGCA